RNAcentral lists this ribosomal RNA (491 nucleotides) under uncultured bacterium. RNAcentral's name for it is "partial 16S ribosomal RNA". It matches the Rfam family "Bacterial small subunit ribosomal RNA", at positions 30 to 507 of the family's 1533-position model. The record is from RNAcentral.
AUUGAACGCUGGCGGCAUGCUUUACACAUGCAAGUCGAACGGUAACAGGCCUUCGGGUGCUGACGAGUGGCGAACGGGUGAGUAAUGCAUCGGAACGUGCCCAGAGGUGGGGAUAACGCAGCGAAAGCUGUGCUAAUACCGCAUGUGAUCUGAGGAUGAAAGCGGGGGACCAGGCAGCAAUGUUUGGCCUCGCGCCUUUGGAGCGGCCGAUGUCAGAUUAGGUAGUUGGUGGGGUAAAGGCCUACCAAGCCGACGAUCUGUAGCUGGUCUGAGAGGACGACCAGCCACACUGGGACUGAGACACGGCCCAGACUCCUACGGGAGGCAGCAGUGGGGAAUUUUGGACAAUGGGCGCAAGCCUGAUCCAGCAAUGCCGCGUGCGGGAAGAAGGCCUUCGGGUUGUAAACCGCCUUUGUACGGAACGAAAAGGCUCUGGCUAAUACCUGGGGCUGAUGACGGUACCGUAAGAAUAGGCACCGGCUAACUACGUG